UACGUAGGGGGCAAGCGUUGUCCGGAUUUAUUGGGCGUAAAGAGCGUGUAGGCGGCUUGGUAGGUCCGCUGUGAAAACUCGAGGCUCAACCUCGAGACGUCGGCGGAAACCAUCUGGCUAGAGUCCGGAAGAGGAGAGUGGAAUUCCUGGUGUAGCGGUGAAAUGCGCAGAUAUCGGGAAGAACACCCGUGGCGAAGGCGGCUCUCUGGGACGGUACUGACGCUGAGACGCGAAAGCGUGGGGAGCGAACAGG
This 253-nucleotide ribosomal RNA is filed under the name uncultured bacterium. RNAcentral's name for it is "partial 16S ribosomal RNA". It matches the Rfam family "Bacterial small subunit ribosomal RNA", at positions 524 to 776 of the family's 1533-position model. The record is from RNAcentral.